RNAcentral lists this ribosomal RNA (447 nucleotides) under uncultured beta proteobacterium. RNAcentral's name for it is "bacterial SSU rRNA". It matches the Rfam family "Bacterial small subunit ribosomal RNA", at positions 198 to 626 of the family's 1533-position model. Lineage: Bacteria; Pseudomonadati; Pseudomonadota; Betaproteobacteria. The record is from RNAcentral.
GGAGGAAAGCAGGGGAUCGCAAGACCUUGCGCUCAUUGAGCGGCCGAUGCCUGAUUAGCUAGUUGGUGAGGUAAAGGCUUACCAAGGCGACGAUCAGUAGCUGGUCUGAGAGGACGACCAGCCACACUGGGACUGAGACACGGCCCAGACUCCUACGGGAGGCAGCAGUGGGGAAUUUUGGACAAUGGGGGAAACCCUGAUCCAGCCGUGCCGCGUGAGUGAAGAAGGCCUUCGGGUUGUAAAGCUCUUUCAGCCGGAACGAAACGGUCACGGCUAAUACCUGUGACUACUGACGGUACCGGAAGAAGAAGCACCGGCUAACUACGUGCCAGCAGCCGCGGUAAUACGUAGGGUGCGAGCGUUAAUCGGAAUUACUGGGCGUAAAGCGUGCGCAGGCGGUUUUGUAAGUCAGAUGAGGGAUCCCCGGGCUUAACCUGGGAACUGCGU